GACGAACGCUGGCGGCGUGCUUAACACAUGCCAGUCGAACGGAAAGGCCCUGCUUUUGUGGGGUGCUCGAGUGGCGAACGGGUGAGUAACACGUGAGUAACCUGCCCUUGACUUUGGGAUAACUUCAGGAAACUGGGGCUAAUACCGGAUAGGAGCUCCUGCUGCAUGGUGGGGGUUGGAAAGUUUCGGCGGUUGGGGAUGGACUCGCGGCUUAUCAGCUUGUUGGUGGGGUAGUGGCCUACCAAGGCUUUGACGGGUAGCCGGCCUGAGAGGGUGGCCGGCCACAUUGGGACUGAGAUACGGCCCAGACUCCUACGGGAGGCAGCAGUGGGGAAUAUUGCACAAUGGGCGGAAGCCUGAUGCAGCAACGCCGCGUGCGGGAUGACGGCCUUCGGGUUGUAAACCGCUUUCGCCUGUGACGAAGCGUGAGUGACGGUAAUGGGUAAAGAAGCACCGGCUAACUACGUG
Molecule: ribosomal RNA, 468 nt
Filed under: uncultured bacterium
Lineage: Bacteria
Description: partial 16S ribosomal RNA
Rfam family: Bacterial small subunit ribosomal RNA
Source: RNAcentral